Molecule: transfer RNA, 76 nt
Filed under: Rheinheimera sp.
Lineage: Bacteria; Pseudomonadati; Pseudomonadota; Gammaproteobacteria; Chromatiales; Chromatiaceae
Also listed under: 2 other names
Description: tRNA-Val
Rfam family: tRNA
About the family: Transfer RNA (tRNA) molecules are approximately 80 nucleotides in length.
Source: RNAcentral
GGAUGGUUAGCUCAGCUGGGAGAGCAUCGCCCUUACAAGGCGAGGGUCACUGGUUCGAUCCCAGUACCAUCCACCA